Molecule: ribosomal RNA, 497 nt
Filed under: uncultured bacterium
Lineage: Bacteria
Description: bacterial SSU rRNA
Rfam family: Bacterial small subunit ribosomal RNA
Source: RNAcentral
GAUGAACGCUAGCUACAGGCUUAACACAUGCAAGUCGAGGGGCAGCAUGGUCUUAGCUUGCUAAGGCCGAUGGCGACCGGCGCACGGGUGAGUAACACGUAUCCAACCUGCCGUCUACUCUUGGACAGCCUUCUGAAAGGAAGAUUAAUACAAGAUGGCAUCAUGAGUCCGCAUGUUCACAUGAUUAAAGGUAUUCCGGUAGACGAUGGGGAUGCGUUCCAUUAGAUAGUAGGCGGGGUAACGGCCCACCUAGUCUUCGAUGGAUAGGGGUUCUGAGAGGAAGGUCCCCCACAUUGGAACUGAGACACGGUCCAAACUCCUACGGGAGGCAGCAGUGAGGAAUAUUGGUCAAUGGGCGAGAGCCUGAACCAGCCAAGUAGCGUGAAGGAUGACUGCCCUAUGGGUUGUAAACUUCUUUUAUAAAGGAAUAAAGUCGGGUAUGGAUACCCGUUUGCAUGUACUUUAUGAAAUAAGGAUCGGCUAACUCCGUGCCAGCA